AUCCAGCUGAUGAGCCCUAAAUGGGACGAAACGCGCGUCUAGACUGGAU
Molecule: non-coding RNA, 49 nt
Filed under: Schistosoma margrebowiei
Lineage: Eukaryota; Metazoa; Platyhelminthes; Trematoda; Strigeidida; Schistosomatidae
Source: RNAcentral